UGCAGAAUCCCGUGAACCAUCGAGUCUUUGAACGCAAGUUGCGCCCGACGCCUUCGGGCUGAGGGCACGCCUGCCUGGGCGUCACGCAUCGCGUCGCCCCCUCCCAAUCCCUCGGGGUUGGGUGAUGGGGCGGAAAAUGGCCUCCCGUUAGCUCGGUUGGCCCAAAAAGGAUCCCUCAUCGACGGAUGUCACAACCAGUGGUGGUUGCAAAAUCAUUGGUGCAGUUGUGCUUCACCCUGUCGCUUGAUUGGGCAUCGUUUUAACCUAAUGGCGUGUAAUGCGCCUUCGACCGCGACCCCAGGUCAGACGGGACUACCCGCUGAGUUUAAGCAUAUCAAUAAGCGGUGGAGAAGAAACUUACAAGGAUUCCCCUAGUAACGGCGAGCGAACCGGGAAUAGCCCAACUUGAGAAUCGGGCGGCCACGCUGUCCGA
RNAcentral lists this ribosomal RNA (433 nucleotides) under Littorella uniflora. RNAcentral's name for it is "eukaryotic LSU rRNA". The stretch from base 293 to 433 matches the Rfam family "Eukaryotic large subunit ribosomal RNA", at positions 1 to 141 of the family's 3401-position model. The record is from RNAcentral. Lineage: Eukaryota; Viridiplantae; Streptophyta; Magnoliopsida; Lamiales; Plantaginaceae.